Molecule: long non-coding RNA, 611 nt
Organism: Lytechinus pictus (painted urchin)
Lineage: Eukaryota; Metazoa; Echinodermata; Echinoidea; Temnopleuroida; Toxopneustidae
Exons: 3
Source: RefSeq, a predicted model, not a curated record
UCACACUUUUUCACACUUUCACAGCUCAGAUUGGCAUGUUGGUGAACUUAUUAGCUUAGAUUUCACGUUAUUCACGGACAUUGCAUUCAUUCCCAUUCAGCUGUUGGACUGAACAGAUACUGUAACACAGUAUGGAUGGUCAAUAUGAAGCGAGCUUCAUUGAAUUCCUCCAAGAGCUCUGUACUCCGUUUUGCUCAUUUUGAAGAUGGUUGCUUUGACAGGACUGGGCAAGUGACUCGUCUUAGACAGGAUGCUGUCCCAACCAUAUUUGAUUUCCUGCCUCAUCUUCAGAAGAAUUCACCCAAGCCAAGGAAUUCCCUGAAAGAAAGACGUUUUGAUUCAGCAAACAACCUCCCAGAUACUGCAAAGUCUUCAGCACCUUCAUUUCUCGAGGACCACUCCUACUCAAUAUCAGAAAGUCCAAGAGGGGUAAAGUGGAAGAUAACAGCAAUAAUGGACUAUUAAAAACUUGGAGAAGAGGCUGAAACCACACAGCAGAAGUCCCGCCGUGUACAUUACUUGCUCUUAAGUUUGGACAAACAUGACUCGCAAAACUUUACAACAAAUAAUUACCCCAAUGUGCAUUCUGAUUAUUUAAAAUAGCUCAAUGA